Molecule: ribosomal RNA, 253 nt
Filed under: uncultured bacterium
Lineage: Bacteria
Description: partial 16S ribosomal RNA
Rfam family: Bacterial small subunit ribosomal RNA
Source: RNAcentral
UACAGAGGUCUCAAGCGUUGUUCGGAUUCAUUGGGCGUAAAGGGUGCGUAGGCGGCUUCUUAAGUUUGGUGUGAAAUCUCCCGGCUCAACUGGGAGGGUGCGCCGAAUACUGAGGGGCUAGAGUGUGGGAGAGGAAAGUGGAAUUCCAGGUGUAGCGGUGAAAUGCGUAGAUAUCUGGAGGAACACCGGUGGUGUAAACGGCUUUCUGGACCAUUACUGACGCUGAUGCACGAAAGCGUGGGUAGCAAACAGG